AUCCCUGGGCGCAGCCUGAUCCAGCAUGCCGCGUGAGUGAAGAAGGCCUUCGGGUUGUAAAGCUCUUUUGUCAGGGAAGAAACGGUUCUGGCUAAUAUCCUGUGCUAAUGACGGUACCUGAAGAAUAAGCACCGGCUAACUACGUGCCAGCAGCCGCGGUAAUACGUAGGGUGCAAGCGUUAAUCGGAAUUACUGGGCGUAAAGCGUGCGCAGGCGGUUUUGUAAGUCUGUCGUGAAAGCCCCGGGCUCAACCUGGGAAUUGCGAUGGAGACUGCAAGGCUUGAAUCUGGCAGAGGGGGGUAGAAUUCCACGUGUAGCAGUGAAAUGCGUAGAGAUGUGGAGGAACACCGAUGGCGAAGGCAGCCCCCUGGGUCAAGAUUGACGCUCAUGCACGAAAGCGUGGGGAGCAAACAGGAUUAGAUACCCUGGUAGUCCACGCCCUAAACGAUGUCUACUAGUUGUCGGGUUUUAAUUAACUUGGUAACGCAGCUAACGCGUGAAGUAGACCGCCUGGGGAGUACGGUCGCAAGAUUAAAACUCAAAUGAAAUUGACGG
RNAcentral lists this ribosomal RNA (555 nucleotides) under Massilia suwonensis. RNAcentral's name for it is "bacterial SSU rRNA". It matches the Rfam family "Bacterial small subunit ribosomal RNA", at positions 367 to 916 of the family's 1533-position model. The record is from RNAcentral. Lineage: Bacteria; Pseudomonadati; Pseudomonadota; Betaproteobacteria; Burkholderiales; Oxalobacteraceae.